Molecule: non-coding RNA, 267 nt
Organism: Carcharodon carcharias (great white shark)
Lineage: Eukaryota; Metazoa; Chordata; Chondrichthyes; Lamniformes; Lamnidae
Product: small Cajal body-specific RNA 6
Exons: 1
Source: RefSeq, a predicted model, not a curated record
GGUCAGUGAUGAUAGGUAAAAGGUCUGACUGCACAGGGCAUUACCCCACGUUCUCACUCCCAGGAAACCCUUCAAUUUCCAUCCUGCUGCAGAUAUGCUGCGAUGUUACAGGGGUUCCUGAUAGUAAUUGAUGCUACUGCUGCUUUAAUCAGUUUGAGAGAUUUGGAACAUGUCUGCAAUGUGCAUCUGCCAUAAUUACCCCCACAGGAAUGUUUAGAACUGUGGGGUUUGUUUCUGUUGCCUGACUGCAAACUGAAAACUGAGACC